UUUGUUGGAUGAAUCUAAUGAGGGUGGUGCUAUUUCUGGGUUGAAACGUUUCACCGUUCCAUCUGAGAAAACUUGAAGAAAUUCUGGUGCUUCUGCAAUUAAGGACAUUUUAUUUUUGUUGCUUGCACAAAACUGAAGUGGUACUAGGUGGUGAGUUUCUGUAUCUGAAUUAUGACUUAGAGGUUAUUUUAUACAUAGCUGAAAAAAUUGUUUGUGUUUUUUUAUGAUAAUGUUGAUUGAUACAUUCUUGGUGGUUGCAAUUUGUAGGUCUUGUUAGGUUGGACAUGCAAAUCGUGCCCUGUAGCAUUUGAAGUUAAAAAAAGUUAAGGUGUUUUUUUCAUGAAACAAAAGAACAGAGUAAAAACUGAUAGGAAAAACAUGAAACGCGCCAGGUAGGGGUCGAACCUACGACUUUCUGCUUAGGAAACAGACGCUCUAUCCACUGAGCUACAGGCGCUUGUUGUUCUUUGUUACCGCAAGUUACAUUAUCUUUACUCUUUUGACUGUUGUUUUUGCAAAAAAGUUAUAUUUUGUUUAUUUUAAUCAAAAUAAUUGGGUUCAUGUGGUUAACGAGCUCCACUAAAAAUGAAUUGUUCAGAAGAAUUCAAAUUCCUAUGUAUAACAAUUAUUGGUCAUAUUAUACUUUCCUAGCGAAUCGGAAUGUCAACAAAAAAAAAAUUGUAUAUUUUGUUUGUCUCAAAUGUUUGUUACAGAGAAAAAAAAUUAGUAAAAAAAAAUAAUAUUUCUUGGGUUAUUCUUAUUAUUGGGUUAAUCUUUGAACAAUGAUAAUUUUUAGUUUCCCACCACCAAAGGUUAAAGACAAUCGUAUUCAGAAUAUUGUGUACUAAAUGCUAGUAUCUCAUCAACCGAAAUUCAAACUUUAAUUCACCAUAUUAUAAAAGUCUAACAUCUCCAGCUAUACACAAUUUCCUUUGUUUUUU
RNAcentral lists this long non-coding RNA (941 nucleotides) under Medicago truncatula (barrel medic). RNAcentral's name for it is "long non-coding RNA (MTRU_LNC005083)". Lineage: Eukaryota; Viridiplantae; Streptophyta; Magnoliopsida; Fabales; Fabaceae. The record is from RNAcentral.